AGAAAAGGUAGGGGUUUGCAAAGGGGUAGCCUCUGGUCCUUUUUCUCGCUGUGUCGCCAGGCUGGAGUGCAGUGGCGUGAUCUAGGCUCACUGCAACCUCCACCUCCUGGGUUCAAGCAAUUCUCCUGCCUCAGCCUCCUGAGUAGCUGGGACUACAGGCGCCCACCACCAUGUCCAGCUAAUUUUUGUAUUUUUAGUAGAGACGGGGUUUCACCAUGUUGGCCAGGAUGGUCUGGAUCUC
Molecule: long non-coding RNA, 241 nt
Filed under: Homo sapiens (human)
Lineage: Eukaryota; Metazoa; Chordata; Mammalia; Primates; Hominidae
Description: non-protein coding lnc-LZIC-1:1
Source: RNAcentral